Molecule: ribosomal RNA, 443 nt
Filed under: uncultured bacterium
Lineage: Bacteria
Description: partial 16S ribosomal RNA
Rfam family: Bacterial small subunit ribosomal RNA
Source: RNAcentral
CCUACGGGAGGCAGCAGUGGGGAAUAUUGGACAAUGGGGGGAACCCUGAUCCAGCGACGCCGCGUGAGUGAAGAAGUAUUUCGGUAUGUAAAGCUCUAUCAGCAGGGAAGAAAGAAAUGACGGUACCUGACUAAGAAGCCCCGGCUAACUACAUGCCAGCAGCCGCGGUAAUACGUAGGGGGCAAGCGUUAUCCGGAUUUACUGGGUGUAAAGGGAGCGUAGACGGCGAUGCAAGUCUGAAGUGAAAGGCGGGGGCCCAACCCCUGGACUGCUUUGGAAACUGGAUGGCUGGAGGGCAGGAGAGGUAAGUGGAAUUCCGAGUGUAGCGGUGAAAUGCGUAGAUAUUAGGAGGAACACCAGUGGCGAAGGCGGCUUACUGGACUGUAACUGACGUUGAGGCUCGAAAGCGUGGGGAGCAAACAGGAGUAGAUACCCGAGUAGUC